Molecule: ribosomal RNA, 438 nt
Filed under: uncultured bacterium
Lineage: Bacteria
Description: bacterial SSU rRNA
Rfam family: Bacterial small subunit ribosomal RNA
Source: RNAcentral
CCUACGGGAGGCAGCAGUGGGGAAUAUUGCACAAUGGGGGAAACCCUGAUGCAGCGACGCCGCGUGGAGGAUGACGGCCUUCGGGUUGUAAACUCCUUUUGUCAGGGACAAUGGUGAUGGUACCUGACGAAUAAGCCACGGCUAACUCUGUGCCAGCAGCCGCGGUAAGACAGAGGUGGCGAGCGUUGUUCGGAAUUACUGGGCUUAAAGGGCGCGUAGGCGGUGGUGUAAGUCUGGGGUGGAAUGCUACAGCUCAACUGUAGAGCUGCCUUGGAAACUGCAUUACUUGAGUCGGUGAGGGGAAGGCGGAAUUCCUGGUGUAGCGGUGAAAUGCGUAGAUAUCAGGAGGAAGGUCUGUGGCGAAGGCGGCCUUCUGGCACUUGACUGACGCUGAGGCGCGAAAGCGUGGGGAGCAAACAGGAUUAGAUACCCCAGUAG